This 155-nucleotide non-coding RNA is filed under the name bovine gut metagenome. The record is from RNAcentral.
GAGGGGCUUGGUUUCUCUUGGCAUUUGCAUCUGUAUCAGCAAGGAUUUGCCACGACGGCAAAUCCAAGUUCCAUGCGCCAUGGAUGGCGCAUUGGAACUGGUUGCGUACUGUCUAAGGAUCCUCACGCAAAUGCUUAGAGAAGCCCAGCCCCGAA